AACGAACGCUGGCGGCAGGCCUAACACAUGCAAGUCGAGCGAGGACUUCGGUCCUAGCGGCGGACGGGUGAGUAACGCGUGGGAACGUGCCCUUUGCUUCGGAAUAGCCCUGGGAAACUGGGAGUAAUACCGGAUGAGCCCUUUGGGGGAAAGAUUUAUCGGCGAAGGAUCGGCCCGCGUUGGAUUAGGUAGUUGGUUGGGUAAUGGCCUACCAAGCCGACGAUCCAUAGCUGGUUUGAGAGGAUGAUCAGCCACACUGGGAAUGAGACACGGCCCAGACUCCUACGGGAGGGAGGAGUGGGGAAUCUUAGAAAAUGGGGGAAACCCUGAUAUAGCCAUGCCGCGUGAGCGAUGAAGGCCUUAGGGUUGUAAAGCUCUUUCAGCUGGGAAGAUAAUGACGGUACCAGCAGAAGAAGCCCCGGCUAACUCCGUG
This 433-nucleotide ribosomal RNA is filed under the name uncultured bacterium. Its description in RNAcentral is "partial 16S ribosomal RNA". It matches the Rfam family "Bacterial small subunit ribosomal RNA", at positions 29 to 507 of the family's 1533-position model. The record is from RNAcentral.